This 270-nucleotide ribosomal RNA is filed under the name uncultured archaeon. RNAcentral's name for it is "partial 16S ribosomal RNA". It matches the Rfam family "Archaeal small subunit ribosomal RNA", at positions 477 to 747 of the family's 1478-position model. The record is from RNAcentral.
CUGCAGCUCAAGUGGUGAUCAUUAUUAUUGGGCCUAAAACGUUCGUAGCCUGUCUUAUAAAUGCCUGGGUAAAUCGUGCCGCUUAACGGUACGAAUUUCGGGUAGACUGUAAGACUUGAGACCGGGUGAGGCUAGAGGUACUCCUGGGGUAGAGGUGAAAUUCUGUAAUCCUAGGGGGACCACCAGUGGCGAAGGCGUCUAGCUAGAACGGGUCUGACGGUGAGGAACGAAGCCCUGGGGCGCAAACCGGAUUAGAUACCCGAGUAGUCC